ACCGUACUAGAGAAAUGGUUAACUCGUCGGCCUUCUAUUGCCAAAGUCAAUAAGCCGAAGAUUCUCGGUUCGAGUCCGGGGUACGGUG
This 88-nucleotide transfer RNA is filed under the name Daldinia eschscholtzii. RNAcentral describes it as "tRNA-Arg". It matches the Rfam family "tRNA". Rfam says of the family: Transfer RNA (tRNA) molecules are approximately 80 nucleotides in length. The record is from RNAcentral. Lineage: Eukaryota; Fungi; Ascomycota; Sordariomycetes; Xylariales; Hypoxylaceae.